RNAcentral lists this ribosomal RNA (253 nucleotides) under uncultured bacterium. RNAcentral's name for it is "partial 16S ribosomal RNA". It matches the Rfam family "Bacterial small subunit ribosomal RNA", at positions 524 to 776 of the family's 1533-position model. The record is from RNAcentral.
UACGUAGGGUGCAAGCGUUGUCCGGAAUUAUUGGGCGUAAAGGGCGCGUAGGCGGCCACGCACGUCCGUUGUGAAAUCGCCCGGCUCAACUGGGCGGGGUCGGCGGAUACGGCGUGGCUGGAGCAAGCUAGGGGGCAAUGGAAUUCCCGGUGUAGUGGUGGAAUGCGUAGAUAUCGGGAGGAACACCAGUGGCGAAGGCGGUUGCCUGGAGCUUUGCUGACGCUGAGGCGCGAAAGCGUGGGGAGCGAUCCGG